Molecule: long non-coding RNA, 552 nt
Organism: Poeciliopsis prolifica (blackstripe livebearer)
Lineage: Eukaryota; Metazoa; Chordata; Actinopteri; Cyprinodontiformes; Poeciliidae
Exons: 3
Source: RefSeq, a predicted model, not a curated record
GAACGUGGAGAAUAUAAUUUUUAUUGGUGGUACAUUUUUUUAAAUCAACUAGGACUUCACUGAAAUUGUUAAAAACUGACCUGUACGCGACAAUAGGUGACAGAGAAACCUGGAGAUUAAUAAAGAUUUGGAGCAGGUGGUGUUUAAAUGUCACCUUCUGGCCUGAUUUUAAACUGGAUGGACAACCCUACACCCUCCCCCCACCUGUUGCUAGCGGCUGCUCUUAAACCUUUUUCUUCCUUACGAGAAAGAUGAGGUCAUCUGUUUGGAAAGUCAUUGCAUGGAAAAAACAGAGCACCGUCCAUCUGUCUCUUCUUAAGGUAAUGCUGGUUUUAAAAGUAGAGCAAGAAGACUAUUGACUGCACUUAUGUUAAGAAGCUGGUUAUGCUUCCAAAGUUGUGCUUUAUCCUGUUACCUUGCAAGGUAAUUUACUAUUUUACUGUGUUUACAUACCAAUAACUGUACUUCAGUCACACUAUGAAUAGAUAUGUUGCUAAACGAGGAUUCCUCUGAGCAUCAGCGCUCAUUUGACCUGUCACUGAAGAUUGAAUA